AACUGCUGGACAAGGAGUGUUCUGUUGAGCUCAUUUUCACACGAUGAACAACUGGCUUAGAACUGAUUCGGGCAAGGGGAAUCCGACUGUUUAAUUGAAACAAAGCAUUGCGAGGGCCUCAAAGGGUGGUGCCACAAUGUGAUUUCUGCCCAGUGCUCUGAAUGUCAAAGUGAGGAAAUUCAACUAAGCGCGGGUAAACGGCGGGAGUAACUAUGACUCUCUUAAGGUAGCCAAAUGCCUCGUCAUCCAAUUAGUGACGCGCAUGAAUGGAUUAAUGAGAUUCCCACUGUCCCCAUCUACUGUCCAGCGAAACCACAGCCAAGGGAACGGGCUUGGGUAAAUCAGCGGGGAAAGAAGACCCUGUUGAGCUUGACUCUAAUCUGACUUUGUGAAAUGACUUAGGAGGUGUAGGAUAUGUGGGAGCUCUGGUGAUCUUGAAAUACCACUACUCUUAAUGUCACUUUACUUACUCUAUCAGACUGUGGCCUGCUUCCCAGCAGGUUUUUGUUUCAAGGCAUCUCAUCUGACUUGUUGACUUGCGUAGAGGACGUAGUCAGGUGGGCAGUUUGGCUGGGGCGGCACAUCUGUUAAAGGAUAACGCACGUGUCCCAAGGUAAGCUCAAGGAGAACAGAAAUCUCAUGUGAAUCAGAAGGGGAAAUGCUUGCUUGAUUUUGCUUUUCGGUGUGAAGACAAACUGUGCAAACAUGGCCUAUCGAUCCUUUGG
RNAcentral lists this ribosomal RNA (725 nucleotides) under Gambierdiscus australes. RNAcentral describes it as "LSU rRNA". It matches the Rfam family "Eukaryotic large subunit ribosomal RNA", at positions 2052 to 2779 of the family's 3401-position model. The record is from RNAcentral. Lineage: Eukaryota; Dinophyceae; Gonyaulacales; Pyrocystaceae.